AUUUGGAGCCAUUUCCGAAAAUGAAGCGCUUUUUAUUGGCAAGAGAGCAGACAUAGAAAGAAAAUACAUUUCAAACAGUAAAAUGGUGAAAAAGCGGGACUUACAGCAGCGCUUCCGAAAAAACAAUGCCGCCAGCAAAACCGCCUGGGAAAUGAUUUUGAGAGGAGAAAA
This is a long non-coding RNA of Lingula anatina, 171 nucleotides long. Lineage: Eukaryota; Metazoa; Brachiopoda; Lingulata; Lingulida; Lingulidae. The record is from RefSeq and is a predicted model, not a curated record.